UGGGGAAUUUUGGACAAUGGGCGCAAGCCUGAUCCAGCCAUGCCGCGUGCGGGAAGAAGGCCUUCGGGUUGUAAACCGCUUUUGUCAGGGAAGAAAUCUUCUGAGUUAAUACCUCGGGAGGAUGACGGUACCUGAAGAAUAAGCACCGGCUACUACUGCCAGCAGCCGCGGUAAUACGUAGGUGCAAGCGUUAAUCGGAAUUACUGGGCGUAAAGCGUGCGCAGGCGGUUUUGUAAGACAGAGGUGAAAUCCCCGGGCUCAACCUGGGAACUGCCUUUGUGACUCAAGGCUUGAGUGCGGCAGAGGGGGAUGGAAUUCCGCGUGUAGCAGUGAAAUGCGUAGAUAUGCGGAGGAACACCGAUGGCGAAGGCAAUCCCCUGGGCCUGCACUGACGCUCAU
RNAcentral lists this ribosomal RNA (399 nucleotides) under uncultured bacterium. Its description in RNAcentral is "partial 16S ribosomal RNA". It matches the Rfam family "Bacterial small subunit ribosomal RNA", at positions 355 to 750 of the family's 1533-position model. The record is from RNAcentral.